Chloroflexi bacterium RBG_19FT_COMBO_49_13 is the source of this 171-nucleotide non-coding RNA. The record is from Rfam. Lineage: Bacteria; Bacillati; Chloroflexota.
ACCAUAAAAAAUGCUUCGCCCAAGACAGCAGGUGCGUAAAUUACGCUUAAUUACCUGCCGAGGUGAGGAUUUCUCCAAGAUAAGUUAACCGCCAUAAGGCAGGUUAGCAUUUAGGACCGGAGAGUCUUUGCCAGGCACUGGCUGCGAGGCAAAGACUUUUUAUUUGGAAAG